GGGGGGGGGGGGGGGGGGGGGGGGGGGGGGGGGGGGGAGCGGAGGGGGGAGGAGCUUGCGCGUGUGGGUUUAGGUGCUGCCGGGGGCGUAACACGUGGCUACCCUUCCUAGGAGCCUGGGGUGGCUUCGGGACACCGGUCAUAAUCCCGUGUCAUUUAUUGACCCGCAUUCUUCCAUCCUUAACGACGGUUUUCCCGUCACGUCUCGAUCUCUCCGCGCCGCAUUAGCUCGUUGGUAAGGGAACGGCUUACCAAGGCAACGAUGCUUAGCCGACGUGCGAGGGUGAGCGGCCAAACUGGAACUGAGACACGGUGCAGAAUCCUAGGGGAGGGAGCAGUAGGGAAUCUUCCGCAAUGGGCGAAAGCCUGACGGAGCAACGCCGCGUGAGUGAUGAAGGUCUUCGGAGCGUAAAACUCUGUUAUUAGGGAAGAACAAAUGCGUAAGUAACGAUGCACGGCGGGACGGUACCUAAUCAGAAAGCCACGGCUAACUACGUG
Molecule: ribosomal RNA, 497 nt
Filed under: uncultured bacterium
Lineage: Bacteria
Description: partial 16S ribosomal RNA
Rfam family: Bacterial small subunit ribosomal RNA
Source: RNAcentral